CGGCUGAGUGACUUCUUUCUUUCUUUUCCUUUUUCGACUUCGUUGGAUGAUGUUCUUCUGGUGUGGAGUUUUGGGUCACACCUCAGCUUGGCGUGUCUCCAACAUGGCUGUUUGUACACAGCAAAGGUAUUGGACGCCUCCUGGAUGAUGGAAGGACAAACUCUGGAAGUGAGCAGGUGAUUGGGUGACCCUCCAGCACAUCAAUGAUGCUUCACAAGAUGAGGACUCGUUAAGAAAUGAGCCUGCUACUCUUCCAUCCUGUUUCUGGGAACACAUCAGACCUGGUCUUGGGGUUUUCAGGUCCAGUGACUGAUGGACCAGUCUUCCUCCUGGGAACGUCAGGAGGAUGAAGUACUGCUGCCUUUGUCCCAGAGCUGAUGGCUGCUGAUCAUAAAGGAAGCCGAAACUGUAACAUUAUGUCAAGUUCAACCAGUUACUGUUGUGUAUUAUACUGACAUGGCACUGCAGUUAUUGGCUUUUCUGUAUUACAGCAUUAAUAAGCACUGUUUAGGAUUUGGAAUGACAGUCACUGUCUUGCAGAAACCAUGAAUCCAAAUUAUACUUCUGCAGGUUCACCUACGGAAACCUUGUUACGACUUUUACUUCCUCCAAGCAAGUUUGAUCAUCUUCUUGGUGCUUAGUUCUAAAUACUGAUCCCUGUAUGUUAAGUGGAUAUGUUGGGUAACAAAUCUGCAUAGUCUCUGAACUGUUCUGUGUCCAUGUCUACUCUGACCAGAGUUCUGUGGUGGAUAAAGUAGAUCAACAAAUGAACAAUUCACACCAUUUAGAUAAAAAUUCUAUGGGGUGUAUAGAUACAUACUAUAUUUGGGUGAACACAAAACAGUUUUCUAUGGCAACAUUUUGAACAAAAUUGUUCACUGGAUCCUUGAUCUCUGGGCAUAAAUAGAAAUAAAAUGCAGUUUGUCAAAAGCAUUUCCUUUCAUCCAUUAAUGACAAACAUCUCUCCAGCUGACUGCUGGAGUCUGCAGCCAU
Thalassophryne amazonica is the source of this 993-nucleotide long non-coding RNA. RefSeq lists it as uncharacterized. The record is from RefSeq and is a predicted model, not a curated record. The transcript has 6 exons. NCBI's taxonomy places the organism in Eukaryota, Metazoa, Chordata, Actinopteri, Batrachoidiformes, Batrachoididae.